This 69-nucleotide transfer RNA is filed under the name Hemiphyllodactylus linnwayensis. RNAcentral's name for it is "tRNA-Ala". It matches the Rfam family "tRNA". From Rfam's summary of the family: Transfer RNA (tRNA) molecules are approximately 80 nucleotides in length. The record is from RNAcentral. Lineage: Eukaryota; Metazoa; Chordata; Lepidosauria; Squamata; Gekkonidae.
GGAGGCUUUAGCUUAAUUAAAGUGUCUGGUUUGCAGUCAGAGGAUGUAGAUUAUAGUAUUACAAGCCUU